RNAcentral lists this transfer RNA (92 nucleotides) under Mycoplasmopsis cynos. Its description in RNAcentral is "tRNA-Ser". It matches the Rfam family "tRNA". Rfam says of the family: Transfer RNA (tRNA) molecules are approximately 80 nucleotides in length. Lineage: Bacteria; Bacillati; Mycoplasmatota; Mycoplasmoidales; Metamycoplasmataceae. The record is from RNAcentral.
GGGUGAUUACCCAAGUCCGAUUUGAAGGGAGCAGUCUUGAAAACUGCCAGGGCUUCACGGCCCAUGGGGUUCAAAUCCCUCAUCACCCGCCA